Molecule: ribosomal RNA, 253 nt
Filed under: uncultured bacterium
Lineage: Bacteria
Description: partial 16S ribosomal RNA
Rfam family: Bacterial small subunit ribosomal RNA
Source: RNAcentral
UACGUAGGGGGCAAGCGUUGUCCGGAUUUAUUGGGCGUAAAGAGCGUGUAGGCGGCCUGGAAGGUCAGCUGUGAAAACUCGAGGCUCAACCUCGAGACGUCGGUUGAAACCACCUGGCUAGAGUCCGGAAGAGGAGAGUGGAAUUCCCGGUGUAGCGGUGAAAUGCGCAGAUAUCGGGAAGAACACCCGUGGCGAAGGCGGCUCUCUGGGCCGUAACUGACGCUGAGGAGCGAAAGCAUGGGGAGCGAACAGG